Molecule: ribosomal RNA, 714 nt
Filed under: uncultured Staphylococcus sp.
Lineage: Bacteria; Bacillati; Bacillota; Bacilli; Caryophanales; Staphylococcaceae
Description: bacterial SSU rRNA
Rfam family: Bacterial small subunit ribosomal RNA
Source: RNAcentral
CGAGCGAACAGACGAGGAGCUUGCUCCUCUGACGUUAGCGGCGGACGGGUGAGUAACACGUGGAUAACCUACCUAUAAGACUGGGAUAACUUCGGGAAACCGGAGCUAAUACCGGAUAAUAUAUUGAACCGCAUGGUUCAAUAGUGAAAGACGGUUUUGCUGUCACUUAUAGAUGGAUCCGCGCCGCAUUAGCUAGUUGGUAAGGUAACGGCUUACCAAGGCAACGAUGCGUAGCCGACCUGAGAGGGUGAUCAGCCACACUGGAACUGAGACACGGUCCAGACUCCUACGGGAGGCAGCAGUAGGGAAUCUUCCGCAAUGGGCGAAAGCCUGACGGAGCAACGCCGCGUGAGUGAUGAAGGUCUUCGGAUCGUAAAACUCUGUUAUUAGGGAAGAACAAAUGUGUAAGUAACUAUGCACGUCUUGACGGUACCUAAUCAGAAGGCCACGGCUAACUACGUGCCAGCAGCCGCGGUAAUACGUAGGUGGCAAGCGUUAUCCGGAAUUAUUGGGCGUAAAGCGCGCGUAGGCGGUUUUUUAAGUCUGAUGUGAAAGCCCACGGCUCAACCGUGGAGGGUCAUUGGAAACUGGAAAACUUGAGUGCAGAAGAGGAAAGUGGAAUUCCAUGUGUAGCGGUGAAAUGCGCAGAGAUAUGGAGGAACACCAGUGGCGAAGGCGACUUUCUGGUCUGUAACUGACGCUGAUGUGCGAAAG